UUAAGCGACUAAGCGUACACGGUGGAUGCCCUGGCAGUCAGAGGCGAUGAAGGACGUGCUAAUCUGCGAUAAGCGUCGGUAAGGUGAUAUGAACCGUUAUAACCGGCGAUUUCCGAAUGGGGAAACCCAGUGUGAUUCGUCACACUAUCAUUAACUGAAUCCAUAGGUUAAUGAGGCGAACCGGGGGAACUGAAACAUCUAAGUACCCCGAGGAAAAGAAAUCAACCGAGAUUCCCCCAGUAGCGGCGAGCGAACGGGGAGGAGCCCAGAGCCUGAAUCAGUGUGUGUGUUAGUGGAAGCGUCUGGAAAGGCGCGCGAUACAGGGUGACAGCCCCGUACACAAAAAUGCACAUACUGUGAGCUCGAUGAGUAGGGCGGGACACGUGGUAUCCUGUCUGAAUAUGGGGGGACCAUCCUCCAAGGCUAAAUACUCCUGACUGACCGAUAGUGAACCAGUACCGUGAGGGAAAGGCGAAAAGAACCCCGGCGAGGGGAGUGAAAAAGAACCUGAAACCGUGUACGUACAAGCAGUGGGAGCCUCUUUUAUGGGGUGACUGCGUACCUUUUGUAUAAUGGGUCAGCGACUUAUAUUCUGUAGCAAGGUUAACCGAAUAGGGGAGCCGAAGGGAAACCGAGUCUUAACCGGGCGUUAAGUUGCAGGGUAUAGACCCGAAACCCGGUGAUCUAGCCAUGGGCAGGUUGAAGGUUGGGUAACACUAACUGGAGGACCGAACCGACUAAUGUUGAAAAAUUAGCGGAUGACUUGUGGCUGGGGGUGAAAGGCCAAUCAAACCGGGAGAUAGCUGGUUCUCCCCGAAAGCUAUUUAGGUAGCGCCUCGUGAAUUCAUCUCCGGGGGUAGAGCACUGUUUCGGCAAGGGGGUCAUCCCGACUUACCAACCCGAUGCAAACUGCGAAUACCGGAGAAUGUUAUCACGGGAGACACACGGCGGGUGCUAACGUCCGUCGUGAAGAGGGAAACAACCCAGACCGCCAGCUAAGGUCCCAAAGUCAUGGUUAAGUGGGAAACGAUGUGGGAAGGCCCAGACAGCCAGGAUGUUGGCUUAGAAGCAGCCAUCAUUUAAAGAAAGCGUAAUAGCUCACUGGUCGAGUCGGCCUGCGCGGAAGAUGUAACGGGGCUAAACCAUGCACCGAAGCUGCGGCAGCGACACUGUGUGUUGUUGGGUAGGGGAGCGUUCUGUAAGCCUGUGAAGGUGUGCUGUGAGGCAUGCUGGAGGUAUCAGAAGUGCGAAUGCUGACAUAAGUAACGAUAAAGCGGGUGAAAAGCCCGCUCGCCGGAAGACCAAGGGUUCCUGUCCAACGUUAAUCGGGGCAGGGUGAGUCGACCCCUAAGGCGAGGCCGAAAGGCGUAGUCGAUGGGAAACAGGUUAAUAUUCCUGUACUUGGUGUUACUGCGAAGGGGGGACGGAGAAGGCUAUGUUGGCCGGGCGACGGUUGUCCCGGUUUAAGCGUGUAGGCUGGUUUUCCAGGCAAAUCCGGAAAAUCAAGGCUGAGGCGUGAUGACGAGGCACUACGGUGCUGAAGCAACAAAUGCCCUGCUUCCAGGAAAAGCCUCUAAGCAUCAGGUAACAUCAAAUCGUACCCCAAACCGACACAGGUGGUCAGGUAGAGAAUACCAAGGCGCUUGAGAGAACUCGGGUGAAGGAACUAGGCAAAAUGGUGCCGUAACUUCGGGAGAAGGCACGCUGAUAUGUAGGUGAAGUCCCUCGCGGAUGGAGCUGAAAUCAGUCGAAGAUACCAGCUGGCUGCAACUGUUUAUUAAAAACACAGCACUGUGCAAACACGAAAGUGGACGUAUACGGUGUGACGCCUGCCCGGUGCCGGAAGGUUAAUUGAUGGGGUCAGCGCAAGCGAAGCUCUUGAUCGAAGCCCCGGUAAACGGCGGCCGUAACUAUAACGGUCCUAAGGUAGCGAAAUUCCUUGUCGGGUAAGUUCCGACCUGCACGAAUGGCGUAAUGAUGGCCAGGCUGUCUCCACCCGAGACUCAGUGAAAUUGAACUCGCUGUGAAGAUGCAGUGUACCCGCGGCAAGACGGAAAGACCCCGUGAACCUUUACUAUAGCUUGACACUGAACAUUGAGCCUUGAUGUGUAGGAUAGGUGGGAGGCUUUGAAGUGUGGACGCCAGUCUGCAUGGAGCCGACCUUGAAAUACCACCCUUUAAUGUUUGAUGUUCUAACGUGGACCCGUGAUCCGGGUUGCGGACAGUGUCUGGUGGGUAGUUUGACUGGGGCGGUCUCCUCCUAAAGAGUAACGGAGGAGCACGAAGGUUGGCUAAUCCUGGUCGGACAUCAGGAGGUUAGUGCAAUGGCAUAAGCCAGCUUGACUGCGAGCGUGACGGCGCGAGCAGGUGCGAAAGCAGGUCAUAGUGAUCCGGUGGUUCUGAAUGGAAGGGCCAUCGCUCAACGGAUAAAAGGUACUCCGGGGAUAACAGGCUGAUACCGCCCAAGAGUUCAUAUCGACGGCGGUGUUUGGCACCUCGAUGUCGGCUCAUCACAUCCUGGGGCUGAAGUAGGUCCCAAGGGUAUGGCUGUUCGCCAUUUAAAGUGGUACGCGAGCUGGGUUUAGAACGUCGUGAGACAGUUCGGUCCCUAUCUGCCGUGGGCGCUGGAGAACUGAGGGGGGCUGCUCCUAGUACGAGAGGACCGGAGUGGACGCAUCACUGGUGUUCGGGUUGUCAUGCCAAUGGCACUGCCCGGUAGCUAAAUGCGGAAGAGAUAAGUGCUGAAAGCAUCUAAGCACGAAACUUGCCCCGAGAUGAGUUCUCCCUGACCCUUUAAGGGUCCUGAAGGAACGUUGAAGACGACGACGUUGAUAGGCCGGGUGUGUAAGCGCAGCGAUGCGUUGAGCUAACCGGUACUAAUGAACCGUGAGGCUUAACCUU
This 2901-nucleotide ribosomal RNA is filed under the name Escherichia coli. RNAcentral describes it as "bacterial LSU rRNA". It matches the Rfam family "Bacterial large subunit ribosomal RNA". The record is from RNAcentral. Lineage: Bacteria; Pseudomonadati; Pseudomonadota; Gammaproteobacteria; Enterobacterales; Enterobacteriaceae.